Hyaena hyaena (striped hyena) is the source of this 350-nucleotide long non-coding RNA. RefSeq lists it as uncharacterized. NCBI's taxonomy places the organism in Eukaryota, Metazoa, Chordata, Mammalia, Carnivora, Hyaenidae. The record is from RefSeq and is a predicted model, not a curated record. The transcript has 3 exons.
CUAGAGAACAGAGCAGAGAAGUGGUUCCAUGCCCAGUGGGAGCUGAGAAGGAAAGAAGGAAAACAAGUUGUCUCUUCUUCUUUCUAAGAACCCUGAAUCUUUCAUUGAAGCUCUUUGUUCACCUACUUUGUUUGGACACCAUGACUAGGACCCAAAGUAAACAGUCUCUAAUGGGCUUCUCCAUUCUUCAGCCAUAAAAAUAUCCACAUCCUUUCCAAGCCCUGGUUUUCAUGCUUGAGUCAACUCAACAUCUGGAAUCAAAGAAUGAAUUUGAAGAGCAACAUGGCUUUGGAUUCAGACUUCCCAGCUUCAGAUGAUUUCCCAUCUUCAAACUAUAUGUGGAAUUUGGC